AAAAAGGCAAAGAGAUCCUGCAUACAUCAAUUUUACAAACAACUACUAAAAUAACGUGAGGUAUAAGUUACUUGAUGAGAAUAUCCACAUAUGUGCAAUUAAUACAUUCACAUCACAUCCAUCUUUCCAAUUGAGGCAGCAUGGAGCCAUGAAUGAAAAUUAACAUCAAGAAUCAAUUUAGCUCAUUUUCUUAUAUCUAAGUGAAGAUCCCAUACAGAAGACUAUCAUAUAGUUCUAAU
This 239-nucleotide unclassified non-coding RNA is filed under the name Hevea brasiliensis (rubber tree). The record is from RNAcentral. Lineage: Eukaryota; Viridiplantae; Streptophyta; Magnoliopsida; Malpighiales; Euphorbiaceae.